This 429-nucleotide unclassified non-coding RNA is filed under the name soil metagenome. RNAcentral describes it as "partial contains 5.8S ribosomal RNA, internal transcribed spacer 2, and large subunit ribosomal RNA". The stretch from base 4 to 119 matches the Rfam family "5.8S ribosomal RNA", at positions 39 to 154 of the family's 154-position model. The record is from RNAcentral.
GAUAAGAACGUAGCGAAAUGCGAUACGUAAUGUGAAUUGCAGAAUUCAGUGAAUCAUCGAAUCUUUGAACGCAUAUUGCGCUCUCUGGUAUUCCGGAGAGCAUGCUUGUUUGAGUAUCAGUAAACACCUCAACUCCCUUUUCUUUUUUGAAAUUGGAGCUGGACUUGAGUGAUCCCAACGCUUUCUUCCAAGAAAGUGGCGGGUUGCUUGAAAUGCAGGUGCAGCUGAACUUUUCUCUGAGCUAUAAGCAUAUCUAUUUAGUCUGCCUAAAAAACAGAUUAUUACCUUUGCUGCAGCUAACAUAAAGGAGACUAGUUCUUGUGCUGACUGAUGCAGGAUUCACAGAGACAGCUUCGGCUGACUUUGUAAACUCGAUCUCAAAUCAAGUAAGACUACCCGCUGAACUUAAGCAUAUCAAUAAGCGGAGGA